GAUGAACGCUGGCGGCGUGCCUAAUACAUGCAAGUCGAGCGAACAGACGAGGAGCUUGCUCCUUUGACGUUAGCGGCGGACGGGUGAGUAACACGUGGAUAACCUACCUAUAAGACUGGGAUAACUUCGGGAAACCGGAGCUAAUACCGGAUAACAUGUUGAACCGCAUGGUUCAACAGUGAAAGACGGUCUUUCUGUCACUUAUUGAUGGAUCCGCGCCGCAUUAGCUAGUUGGUAAGGUAACGGCUUACCAAGGCAACGAUGCGUAGCCGACCUGAGAGGGUGAUCGGCCACACUGGAACUGAGACACGGUCCAGACUCCUACGGGAGGCAGCAGUAGGGAAUCUUCCGCAAUGGGCGAAAGCCUGACGGAGCAACGCCGCGUGAGUGAAGAAGGUCUUCGGCUCGUAAAACUCUGUUAUUAGGGAAGAACAAAUGUGUAAGUACCUAUGCACGUCUUGACGGUACCUAAUCAGAAAGCCACGGCUAACUACGUG
This 497-nucleotide ribosomal RNA is filed under the name uncultured bacterium. RNAcentral's name for it is "partial 16S ribosomal RNA". It matches the Rfam family "Bacterial small subunit ribosomal RNA", at positions 28 to 507 of the family's 1533-position model. The record is from RNAcentral.